ACAGCAGUAGCCGCGGUAAUACGUAGGGUGCAAGUGUUAAUCGGAAUUACUGGGCGUAAAGCGUGCGCAGGCGGUUCUAUAAGACGGAUGUGAAAUCCCCGGGCUCAACCUGGGAACUGCAUUUGUGACUGUAGAGCUGGAGUGCGGCAGAGGGGGAUGGAAUUCCGCGUGUAGCAGUGAAAUGCGUAGAUAUGCGGAGGAACACCGAUGGCGAAGGCAAUCCCCUGGGCCUGCACUGACGCUCAUGCACGAAAGCGUGGGGAGCAAACAGGAUUAGAUACCCCCGUAGUCCCUGUCUCUUAUAC
Molecule: ribosomal RNA, 305 nt
Filed under: uncultured bacterium
Lineage: Bacteria
Description: partial 16S ribosomal RNA
Rfam family: Bacterial small subunit ribosomal RNA
Source: RNAcentral